RNAcentral lists this ribosomal RNA (542 nucleotides) under Staphylococcus aureus. RNAcentral describes it as "partial 23S ribosomal RNA". It matches the Rfam family "Bacterial large subunit ribosomal RNA", at positions 513 to 1057 of the family's 2925-position model. The record is from RNAcentral. Lineage: Bacteria; Bacillati; Bacillota; Bacilli; Caryophanales; Staphylococcaceae.
GGUGAAAAGCACCCCGGAAGGGGAGUGAAAUAGAACCUGAAACCGUGUGCUUACAAGUAGUCAGAGCCCGUUAAUGGGUGAUGGCGUGCCUUUUGUAGAAUGAACCGGCGAGUUACGAUUUGAUGCAAGGUUAAGCAGUAAAUGUGGAGCCGUAGCGAAAGCGAGUCUGAAUAGGGCGUUUAGUAUUUGGUCGUAGACCCGAAACCAGGUGAUCUACCCUUGGUCAGGUUGAAGUUCAGGUAACACUGAAUGGAGGACCGAACCGACUUACGUUGAAAAGUGAGCGGAUGAACUGAGGGUAGCGGAGAAAUUCCAAUCGAACCUGGAGAUAGCUGGUUCUCUCCGAAAUAGCUUUAGGGCUAGCCUCAAGUGAUGAUUAUUGGAGGUAGAGCACUGUUUGGACGAGGGGCCCCUCUCGGGUUACCGAAUUCAGACAAACUCCGAAUGCCAAUUAAUUUAACUUGGGAGUCAGAACAUGGGUGAUAAGGUCCGUGUUCGAAAGGGAAACAGCCCAGACCACCAGCUAAGGUCCCAAAAUAUAU